This 1142-nucleotide long non-coding RNA is filed under the name Taeniopygia guttata (zebra finch). RNAcentral's name for it is "lncRNA (ENSTGUG00000021281.1)". Lineage: Eukaryota; Metazoa; Chordata; Aves; Passeriformes; Estrildidae. The record is from RNAcentral.
CACACUACUUUCAGAGCUUCCCACUCUUCAAAGGCUUUCUGCAAUAAAGGCUUCCAGCAGAAGAACAUAUGUGGAAUAACAAAGCUCAGUAAAAUCCAACUAAAUGAAAAGGAAGGUGACAGGCAGGAAUCCUAAAUCAAAAGAAAUGCUGUGAACAGGAUGCAGCUUUCUGAGGUCCUUAGAAAUAGAAAGAUUCUUUUGGAAACCCUGCUGGACUGAAGACCUAGACUGAGAUUCCCCGACUCUAAUAAAAAUAUGGCAUAGCAAAGUGCUGGCUAAAUGGUGCCUAAGCAGUCAAACACAUUGUCCUGACCCAUAUUGAGAGCUGUUGCUACUGCAACUUUGGCUACCUCUAUCAGCAGUGGCUACGGUCAUAGUGAGCAAGAGGAAUAUAAGAACCACUGAUCUGGAUGAUUUUACUUCAUCUGAAAACUGAGGUAAUGUGUUCUUACAUUUCUCUAGGAGAAACAGGAGUGCAGUAAGGAGCUGGAAGAAUCUGCAGAGCUGAUUGGAACAAUGUAAGGUAUGUAGUGGAAAGAGAAUAUAAGCAGUGUUAACUGGGUAAAAAUAGAACAGGAGGCCAUAACCUAAACAAAAAAUCAUAUUUAAUGUGUUACAUUUGGUGCUUUAUUUACCCAUUCUCCUAAUAAAUACAGUAAGACUAAAACACUAAGCAGAAAUACCACUAUUGAAAAAAAUCAUAGAGGACAGCUGCAUGGUACUGUGAGAGAAACAUUCAAGACCCAGAAAUACCAAUGCAUUAAAGGAUCUAAAGGGAUAACAGAAGAUAUUUUUAUGUAUUUCUGAUCACCUUUGCUUAAUAAUAUCUAAGGAAAAUAGAAAAGUGCAUGAAGCAGCUAGCAGUGACCAUUUUAAAAUACUGCUUGCCCAAUCACCCAAGCUGUUGAAUUACACAACUCCUUACUGAAAUAAACAGGAACUGCUGCUGAGCCUUGUAAAUGAGGCCACCUGAGAAAUUGUUGAAUAGCUGAUCUAUAACAAGUAAUUGUAAGGGAGUUGUAAAUUCAGAUAACACUUAAGUGGGUGGCUGAGUCUUGGGUACAUUUUACCUGUUUAGCUAUACCCUUUAUAUUUUUUUAGUUGAAGUACACAUCUUAUUUUUGUAAUUACUUUCUCAACGA